UCAGCUCUUUUAAUUGUCAAAACUAAACACUCUUCGUUGUUCGCCACUAAUUCUUAUCCGUUUUAUUUUUUAUUUAUCUCAUCUCUCUUAUCCCUCGAAUCUUGUUUCUUUUUUUCUUUGUUUUUAAAACUAUUUAUUGCGACAUUUUUUCAGUUGGUUUCUAAAAUAUGUAAAUUUAUUUGCUUUUUGACAUUUUGAAAAAUUUUCUUUCAUUUUCUGGGAAUGAUUUUUGGUUGAAGUAAUUUUUAAUUAUUUAAGUCUCUUUCAAUGUUAGGGGUUCAUGUUAUUUUUAAGAUUUUUUUUUUCUCUCUUUGAUGGUUGAAUUGUAUUUUUUUAAAGGUUGAUCGUGUCAACAAUGAGCGUUGACUUUGUUUGUGGUAUGGUAUUUAUUCGGUUUACAGCUGAAUUUAGUUCAUAAUCUCGAAUUCGGGAACUAGGGUUUGUGAAUUCUUGAUUAUCCGACAUCGGGGGAAAUGGGGUUUUCUCAAAAAUUACUGCCGUUCUUUGUGUUUUUAGUUUGAUAAUGAUUUCUAAAUGUGUUUUAUCUGAAACUGAAUGAAAGAUUUUGGUCUUAUGUGUUGUGGGUUGUUCUAAAAUUUUUAAAAAUUUUGAGGUAGGAUUUGUGAAUUUAUGAUUUGUAGGUAAGCAGAUAAAUGAGAUUUCUGUGUAAUCCCUGUAUUUGGUACUUUUAACCUUUUAAUCAGUCGAUUGAUCAACAGAUUGAGUUUUUGAGUCUUGUAUUUAAUAAACUGGUGUGUGAUUGUCUAUGGAGACGGUCCUUGUUGAUGUUAAGGAUGUUAAUGGGUGCAAAAAAAUGCCUUUAGAUAUGCUAGACUCCGAAAAGGUUGAGAAUCAUACUGAUGAUGGAGAAGAGAGUGAAUCAAAUUCUUUGUUGCCUCCCAGGAGAGGUGGGAUGUCAAGGCAAUGCGAAAAAACACGAAGAAAAGUGCAGUGGAAUGAUAAGAACGGGAAUAAGCUUGUGGAGGUGUUAGAAUUUGAACCGAGGUUAUGCAUACUGUGUUUGAUCUUCUAGGCUCUGCCUGCUGUUUUAGGGCCCUUCUCCUUGGAAGAUUCAUUGAGGCUCAUGCUCUGGAAUAAUUUGAAGCAAGUGACUCUGAAGAUGAGGAUUCAGAUUCUUGUAUCUGUACCAUAAUGUAGAUACCAUUUAGUGAACCAAAUUACAGGAUUGGUGGAUGAAUUAAUGAGGUUUUCUCUGCAAAACCUGAUUUUGGUGCAAAUUGGCCUUUUUCCACGCUUGCUGUUAUUAGGAUGGACCAAAGGUCCAGAAGACUAGCAAGGCAUUCUCUGACUUUCUCAUGUUUAUUGACAUCUUGGAGUCAUUUAAAUUCCUUAUCUGGGUUUUUGGAACUUCCGUAAAAGCAGCUGCAGAUAUUUGUGAUUAUAACAAACAUGCUUCCGUGAAAUGUUAUAUAUAUAGUACAACUGAGGUUUUUAUGUUUUUGCCACAUAUAUUGAUGUGUGGAUUGAAACACUGAAGAGAUAUGAUUACUGUGUAAACGAAAUAGUACGCACUUCAAUUCUGUUCA
Pistacia vera is the source of this 1547-nucleotide RNA transcript. RefSeq lists it as uncharacterized. Lineage: Eukaryota; Viridiplantae; Streptophyta; Magnoliopsida; Sapindales; Anacardiaceae. The record is from RefSeq and is a predicted model, not a curated record. The transcript is spliced from 3 exons.